This 720-nucleotide ribosomal RNA is filed under the name Escherichia coli. RNAcentral describes it as "partial 23S ribosomal RNA". It matches the Rfam family "Bacterial large subunit ribosomal RNA", at positions 510 to 1230 of the family's 2925-position model. The record is from RNAcentral. Lineage: Bacteria; Pseudomonadati; Pseudomonadota; Gammaproteobacteria; Enterobacterales; Enterobacteriaceae.
AAAGGCGAAAAGAACCCCGGCGAGGGGAGUGAAAAAGAACCUGAAACCGUGUACGUACAAGCAGUGGGAGCACGCUUAGGCGUGUGACUGCGUACCUUUUGUAUAAUGGGUCAGCGACUUAUAUUCUGUAGCAAGGUUAACCGAAUAGGGGAGCCGAAGGGAAACCGAGUCUUAACUGGGCGUUAAGUUGCAGGGUAUAGACCCGAAACCCGGUGAUCUAGCCAUGGGCAGGUUGAAGGUUGGGUAACACUAACUGGAGGACCGAACCGACUAAUGUUGAAAAAUUAGCGGAUGACUUGUGGCUGGGGGUGAAAGGCCAAUCAAACCGGGAGAUAGCUGGUUCUCCCCGAAAGCUAUUUAGGUAGCGCCUCGUGAAUUCAUCUCCGGGGGUAGAGCACUGUUUCGGCAAGGGGGUCAUCCCGACUUACCAACCCGAUGCAAACUGCGAAUACCGGAGAAUGUUAUCACGGGAGACACACGGCGGGUGCUAACGUCCGUCGUGAAGAGGGAAACAACCCAGACCGCCAGCUAAGGUCCCAAAGUCAUGGUUAAGUGGGAAACGAUGUGGGAAGGCCCAGACAGCCAGGAUGUUGGCUUAGAAGCAGCCAUCAUUUAAAGAAAGCGUAAUAGCUCACUGGUCGAGUCGGCCUGCGCGGAAGAUGUAACGGGGCUAAACCAUGCACCGAAGCUGCGGCAGCGACGCUUAUGCGUUGUUGGGUA